UUAAGCGACUAAGCGUACACGGUGGAUGCCCUGGCAGUCAGAGGCGAUGAAGGACGUGCUAAUCUGCGAUAAGCGUCGGUAAGGUGAUAUGAACCGUUAUAACCGGCGAUUUCCGAAUGGGGAAACCCAGUGUGUUUCGACACACUAUCAUUAACUGAAUCCAUAGGUUAAUGAGGCGAACCGGGGGAACUGAAACAUCUAAGUACCCCGAGGAAAAGAAAUCAACCGAGAUUCCCCCAGUAGCGGCGAGCGAACGGGGAGCAGCCCAGAGCCUGAAUCAGUGUGUGUGUUAGUGGAAGCGUCUGGAAAGGCGCGCGAUACAGGGUGACAGCCCCGUACACAAAAAUGCACAUGCUGUGAGCUCGAUGAGUAGGGCGGGACACGUGGUAUCCUGUCUGAAUAUGGGGGGACCAUCCUCCAAGGCUAAAUACUCCUGACUGACCGAUAGUGAACCAGUACCGUGAGGGAAAGGCGAAAAGAACCCCGGCGAGGGGAGUGAAAAAGAACCUGAAACCGUGUACGUACAAGCAGUGGGAGCACGCUUAGGCGUGUGACUGCGUACCUUUUGUAUAAUGGGUCAGCGACUUAUAUUCUGUAGCAAGGUUAACCGAAUAGGGGAGCCGAAGGGAAACCGAGUCUUAACUGGGCGUUAAGUUGCAGGGUAUAGACCCGAAACCCGGUGAUCUAGCCAUGGGCAGGUUGAAGGUUGGGUAACACUAACUGGAGGACCGAACCGACUAAUGUUGAAAAAUUAGCGGAUGACUUGUGGCUGGGGGUGAAAGGCCAAUCAAACCGGGAGAUAGCUGGUUCUCCCCGAAAGCUAUUUAGGUAGCGCCUCGUGAAUUCAUCUCCGGGGGUAGAGCACUGUUUCGGCAAGGGGGUCAUCCCGACUUACCAACCCGAUGCAAACUGCGAAUACCGGAGAAUGUUAUCACGGGAGACACACGGCGGGUGCUAACGUCCGUCGUGAAGAGGGAAACAACCCAGACCGCCAGCUAAGGUCCCAAAGUCAUGGUUAAGUGGGAAACGAUGUGGGAAGGCCCAGACAGCCAGGAUGUUGGCUUAGAAGCAGCCAUCAUUUAAAGAAAGCGUAAUAGCUCACUGGUCGAGUCGGCCUGCGCGGAAGAUGUAACGGGGCUAAACCAUGCACCGAAGCUGCGGCAGCGACGCUGAUGCGUUGUUGGGUAGGGGAGCGUUCUGUAAGCCUGUGAAGGUGUACUGUGAGGUAUGCUGGAGGUAUCAGAAGUGCGAAUGCUGACAUAAGUAACGAUAAAGCGGGUGAAAAGCCCGCUCGCCGGAAGACCAAGGGUUCCUGUCCAACGUUAAUCGGGGCAGGGUGAGUCGACCCCUAAGGCGAGGCCGAAAGGCGUAGUCGAUGGGAAACAGGUUAAUAUUCCUGUACUUGGUGUUACUGCGAAGGGGGGACGGAGAAGGCUAUGUUGGCCGGGCGACGGUUGUCCCGGUUUAAGCGUGUAGGCUGGUUUUCCAGGCAAAUCCGGAAAAUCAAGGCUGAGGCGUGAUGACGAGGCACUACGGUGCUGAAGCAACAAAUGCCCUGCUUCCAGGAAAAGCCUCUAAGCAUCAGGUAACAUCAAAUCGUACCCCAAACCGACACAGGUGGUCAGGUAGAGAAUACCAAGGCGCUUGAGAGAACUCGGGUGAAGGAACUAGGCAAAAUGGUGCCGUAACUUCGGGAGAAGGCACGCUGAUAUGUAGGUGAAGUCCCUUGCGGAUGGAGCUGAAAUCAGUCGAAGAUACCAGCUGGCUGCAACUGUUUAUUAAAAACACAGCACUGUGCAAACACGAAAGUGGACGUAUACGGUGUGACGCCUGCCCGGUGCCGGAAGGUUAAUUGAUGGGGUCAGCGCAAGCGAAGCUCUUGAUCGAAGCCCCGGUAAACGGCGGCCGUAACUAUAACGGUCCUAAGGUAGCGAAAUUCCUUGUCGGGUAAGUUCCGACCUGCACGAAUGGCGUAAUGAUGGCCAGGCUGUCUCCACCCGAGACUCAGUGAAAUUGAACUCGCUGUGAAGAUGCAGUGUACCCGCGGCAAGACGGAAAGACCCCGUGAACCUUUACUAUAGCUUGACACUGAACAUUGAGCCUUGAUGUGUAGGAUAGGUGGGAGGCUUUGAAGUGUGGACGCCAGUCUGCAUGGAGCCGACCUUGAAAUACCACCCUUUAAUGUUUGAUGUUCUAACGUGGACCCGUGAUCCGGGUUGCGGACAGUGUCUGGUGGGUAGUUUGACUGGGGCGGUCUCCUCCUAAAGAGUAACGGAGGAGCACGAAGGUUGGCUAAUCCUGGUCGGACAUCAGGAGGUUAGUGCAAUGGCAUAAGCCAGCUUGACUGCGAGCGUGACGGCGCGAGCAGGUGCGAAAGCAGGUCAUAGUGAUCCGGUGGUUCUGAAUGGAAGGGCCAUCGCUCAACGGAUAAAAGGUACUCCGGGGAUAACAGGCUGAUACCGCCCAAGAGUUCAUAUCGACGGCGGUGUUUGGCACCUCGAUGUCGGCUCAUCACAUCCUGGGGCUGAAGUAGGUCCCAAGGGUAUGGCUGUUCGCCAUUUAAAGUGGUACGCGAGCUGGGUUUAGAACGUCGUGAGACAGUUCGGUCCCUAUCUGCCGUGGGCGCUGGAGAACUGAGGGGGGCUGCUCCUAGUACGAGAGGACCGGAGUGGACGCAUCACUGGUGUUCGGGUUGUCAUGCCAAUGGCACUGCCCGGUAGCUAAAUGCGGAAGAGAUAAGUGCUGAAAGCAUCUAAGCACGAAACUUGCCCCGAGAUGAGUUCUCCCUGACCCUUUAAGGGUCCUGAAGGAACGUUGAAGACGACGACGUUGAUAGGCCGGGUGUGUAAGCGCAGCGAUGCGUUGAGCUAACCGGUACUAAUGAACCGUGAGGCUUAACCUU
Molecule: ribosomal RNA, 2902 nt
Filed under: Escherichia coli
Lineage: Bacteria; Pseudomonadati; Pseudomonadota; Gammaproteobacteria; Enterobacterales; Enterobacteriaceae
Description: bacterial LSU rRNA
Rfam family: Bacterial large subunit ribosomal RNA
Source: RNAcentral